UACGGGGGGGGUAAGCGUUGUUCGGAAUUACUGGGCGUAAAGGGCUCGUAGGCGGCCAACUAAGUCGGACGUGAAAUCCCUCAGCUUAACUGGGGAACUGCGUCCGAUACUGGAUGGCUUGGAUUUGGGAGAGGGAUGCGGAAUUCCAGGUGUAGCGGUGAAAUGCGUAGAUAUCGAGAGGAACACCUGCGGCGAAGGCGGGUAGCUGGGCCGACACUGACGCUGAGGCGCGAAAGCCAGGGGAGCGAACGGG
RNAcentral lists this ribosomal RNA (253 nucleotides) under uncultured bacterium. Its description in RNAcentral is "partial 16S ribosomal RNA". It matches the Rfam family "Bacterial small subunit ribosomal RNA", at positions 524 to 776 of the family's 1533-position model. The record is from RNAcentral.